UGAACCCCUCCUCCUCUCUGUUCUAAUAGCCUUCAUUCUGUGUGUGAAUCCCUCCUAACGAGAUGGAUUUUAAGGCACUUCUUAAAAGAUGCAAGAAUAGGGGAGAGUCUGAUGUCGGUAGACAUGCUAUUCCAUAGGAAGGGAGUCGCCUGGGAGAGGUCCUACAAGUGUAAGUUGGCUGUACGGGUGCGUGCAAUGGACAGGAGAAGGUCACAAGGCAGAGCGGAGAGACCGAGAAGGGGCAUACCUAUGGAUCUGUGAAGAGCUAUAAGAGGGGCUAGAAUUGUUCAGUGCUUUUAUAGGUAUGGGGGGUAUAAUUAAAAAAGGAGACACUGAAUGAGCGUUGAGAGAGAGAGAGAGAGAGAGAGGAGGAGAACCACGAGAGGACAGUGUCACAGAGACCGAGUGAUUGAAGAAGGAGAGCAUGAUCAACAGUGUCAAAAGCAGCAGAGAGGUCAAGAAGAAUUACUAUGGAGUAGUGGCCUUUGGAUUUAGCUGCGAUUAGGUCAUUAGUAACUUUGAUAAGAGAAGAGGGUCAAGGAGAGAGUUGGAAUUGAGGAAGUGAGACAUACGGGUAAAGACCAGUCUUUCCAGAAGUUUUGAGGAAAAAGGAAGUAGGGAUAUGGGACGAUAGUUAGAGGGGG
Molecule: non-coding RNA, 644 nt
Organism: Pelobates cultripes (western spadefoot toad)
Lineage: Eukaryota; Metazoa; Chordata; Amphibia; Anura; Pelobatidae
Source: the annotation of a GenBank genome assembly